CGGCCUUAGUGGCGCAGGGUGCGUAACGCGUGGGAAUCUGCCCUUGGGUUCGGAAUAACAGUUAGAAAUGACUGCUAAUACCGGAUGAUGUCGUAAGACCAAAGAUUUAUCGCCCAAGGAUGAGCCCGCGUAGGAUUAGCUAGUUGGUGAGGUAAAGGCUCACCAAGGCGACGAUCCUUAGCUGGUCUGAGAGGAUGAUCAGCCACACUGGGACUGAGACACGGCCCAGACUCCUACGGGAGGCAGCAGUGGGGAAUAUUGGACAAUGGGCGAAAGCCUGAUCCAGCAAUGCCGCGUGAGUGAUGAAGGCCUUAGGGUUGUAAAGCUCUUUUACCCGGGAUGAUAAUGACAGUACCGGGAGAAUAAGCUCCGGCUAACUUCGUGCCAGCAGCCGCGGUAAUACGAGGGGAGCUAGCGUUAUUCGGAAUUACUGGGCGUAAAGCGCACGUAGGCGGCUUUGUAAGUUAGAGGUGAAAGCCCGGGGCUCAACUCCGGAAUUGCCUUUAAGACUGCAUCGCUUGAAUCCAGGAGAGGUGAGUGGAAUUCCGAGUGUAGA
This 556-nucleotide ribosomal RNA is filed under the name Sphingomonas koreensis. RNAcentral's name for it is "bacterial SSU rRNA". It matches the Rfam family "Bacterial small subunit ribosomal RNA", at positions 87 to 679 of the family's 1533-position model. The record is from RNAcentral. Lineage: Bacteria; Pseudomonadati; Pseudomonadota; Alphaproteobacteria; Sphingomonadales; Sphingomonadaceae.